Chlorocebus sabaeus (green monkey) is the source of this 2621-nucleotide non-coding RNA. NCBI's taxonomy places the organism in Eukaryota, Metazoa, Chordata, Mammalia, Primates, Cercopithecidae. The record is from RefSeq and is a predicted model, not a curated record.
GUCACAGCUCACUGCAGCCUCGAAAUUCUGGGUCCAAGUAAUCUUUCCACCUCAGCCUCAAUCCUAAGUUUUCUAUCCACUAAUAUUGUAUCCUUUUAUUUGCUCAAUCUUGUGAUGUGUUCUUAAAUAGGAUUCUAUGGUUUUCUUCACAUAGAUCUAGUUCUGUUCUGACAAAAUAUUUUACAUUUGUAGUUAUUGUUACUAAGGAUUUGAUGUUUCCCACAAUUUCAUUUCUAACUGGUUACUACUAGCAGAUGGAAAAUAUGUUAAUUUUCAUAUAUUUAUCUUCAAUCAAGCCACUUUACCAAAUUCUCUAAUUAAUUAUAGAAGUUAUUGAUAAGAGUCUCUUGGGUUUAAAUGGUUAUAAUUGUAUGAUUUAUAAAUAGAUUUAAUUUUUUUUUCAAUAUUCACUCUGAUGAUUUAAUUUUUUUUUUCUUCAAAGAAGGAGAACAAAAAGGUGACAGAAGGCACCCGUGUAUUGUUCCUGAUUUGGAUGGAUGUACUGUGUAGAUUUUGGUGCCUGUCCAGGUCAAAGGAAGCACCUUCUCUGUGUGUACCAGACAUUUCCAGCUUGGCCCUCCCAGAACUUCGCCCCACCCCUUCAUGGUAUGGAUUUCAGAAACCAGAUCUAACUCCAGCUGAAGGUCGAAGGAGUUUAUGGAAUAAUCUAUGUGGAUGUGGGCAUCCUAGAACGAGGCUUUCCUCUUCUGUUCUGAAUUCAUGGGGAGCUUUAGGAAGCUGCAGCUGUGUGUGAGAAGGCUUCUCAGAGAUACUGUGGAGUUCAAGGCUCAGGAAUCCAUACUUGGGAGAAUGAAGUUAAUAUGGAUGCUGCAUUCACCUGGUUCAGGAAAUCCUGCUUUCCUCUCAGCCUCAUCCUGGAGAGGCAUUGAGAAAGCAGCCUCAUUAGGAGCAAUGGCUGGAAGUAGACUGCCUACCUUUACAUCAGGGCCUGACCUUGUACUAGGAGCCGCCCACCGACUGUUUGACAGGCACAAACUGGAGUUCUUUCCACACGGCGUGGCAGGGCCACGGAGAAGCCGCUUCUGGGUAAUUAAACAAUUAGCUCCUUGCACUCUUCCUGCAGGAACAAAUCCGGGCCCCCAUGGCAUCUGUCCCCUCCUGUUCCUCCAGCUGGCCUCCUUGCCACGCGCACACCCUCUCCGGAACCAGGCCCGGCUGCCUGCGCCCCCCUCCCUUCCACUUCCGCCACCAGAAGGGGCGCGGGGAGGCCGGGCUGGAGGGGAGGGCCCAAGGCUCACGGGGGCUGGGUGACUGCCGCCCCAGCACGCGUGCCCCUGAACUUGUCUUCAAAGUUCUCCUACGGGGUUGGCAGCCCCCUCUUGAAAGCUGCUCCGUAGCCGAGGCAGCAUAUGGACUGUUGACAGAGCAGCUGCUGGGGAAGAAGACGCUGAAAGGAAGCCUCGAGGGAUAAACAGGAGAAACCCAUGUCACCACGUGGCACCCCAGGCGCGCCUCAAUGCAGCAGCUCGUUCACUCUCAUCUCCUUCCGGGGGCGAGGAAAGUGGUUUUGGACUGCUGUGCUCGAUUGUCUGCUCUUAAAAUAAUGAACAUCAUUAUCAUCCUAAUGAGAAUGAGUAUGACAAUGAUAGCUAACAGUUGUGCCAGCCAGUUCUCUAAAUGAUUUCAGGUGCGUUGUUCCAUGUGCUCCUUCAAACCGCCCUCUGAAGAAAGAACUGUUAUUAUUCCCAUUUUGUAGAUGAAAAAACCAAGGCUAGAGAGCUUAAGGAUUUUAUGCUAGUCACAGGGCUAGUAAGUGACCCAAGUCUUGUGCCAAAGCCUUCACUCUUAAUCACUGUGAUUUCCUAUUACAAGCAUUUUGAGUGUCAGACCACUGUAGUAGGGCGGAUAAUUAAGAUGCGUGGUGUCGUGUGAUUUACAAAGCAAUGGCUGCAUUCAUUCUCUUAUCUGACCUCCAGAGAGCAGGGACAGGUGAGAGUCAUCUCUGUACUCCCAGCCUCUAGAACUGGGUCUGGCACAGAAGCAUACAGUGAAUUAGAGGAAUAAUACAUGAAUCAAUCAAUCAAUCAACCCUGGGAAGUGCUUUCACAUUCAUUUUGCAGGUGAGAAAACAGGCUCUUCAGAGAGUUUUGCCUGAAACCACAUAAUAAUAAACUUGGUUGAGAGGAGAUUUGAACUCUGAUCUUCAGACCACAGGUCCUGUCCUCCCUCUUUCCUACCUGGAAUGUAUCAGGUUGAGUGGGGGAGAAGUCUGGGUUGGGGUGGGACAGGGAAAGAACAUAAAACCACGAGUGUGGUUUAUUUCAGAGUUGCUUGCGGAUAACUUAAUAAAUCCCCAGGGUAGAGAGCUUGAAGAGUAUUGUUUCAAAUGACAUCUAGAUUGAGCAAAAAGAUGUUAAUUUUUUUUUCCUGUCCCGAGCCCUGUCUACAACCUGAUCCCCAGUGGCCCCAGGAAGCUGCGGGUCUGUCAAAUGCCGUUUCCCCAGGUGGAUCAGUGAUCCCAGUUGGGGAUCUGGACCUUCCAGACGUGAAGGCAGAAGUGAAGAGCCCAUUCAUCACAUUGAAAGCUGAUACCUGACAGAGAUUCAAUCCCAUCUUGAUGCUGGAAACUUGGAGAGAAAUGGAGUGGUUUAAUUUUCUCA